AGCCUUAAGAGCUAUUUAAGGUGAAGCCUGCCCAGUGCUAGUAGGUCAACGGCCGCAGUACUUUGACUGUGCUAAGGUAGCAUAAUCAGUUGGCUUUUAAAUGGAGUCGGGAAUGAAUGGAUUAAUGGGGCCUAUCUGUCUCUAAACUACUCUCUUGAACUUACUUAAUAAGUGAAAAUUCUUAUUGGAAGAAAAAAGACGAGAAGACCCUAGGAGUUUUUACUAAGAUUAUUUUUUAUAAUUAAGUUUUUGUUGGGGCGACAAAAGAAAAAUUUUAAACUUCUUUUUUACUAUACGCCGACUUAAGUAUGAGAAUUUAAACUACCCUAGGGAUAACAGCGUAAUUCUUUUGAGUUUGCGACCUCGAUGUUGGACUAGGAACAAACUAGGCUA
Molecule: ribosomal RNA, 393 nt
Filed under: Costasiella nonatoi
Lineage: Eukaryota; Metazoa; Mollusca; Gastropoda; Costasiellidae
Description: partial small subunit ribosomal RNA
Rfam family: Bacterial large subunit ribosomal RNA
Source: RNAcentral